RNAcentral lists this ribosomal RNA (497 nucleotides) under uncultured bacterium. Its description in RNAcentral is "partial 16S ribosomal RNA". It matches the Rfam family "Bacterial small subunit ribosomal RNA", at positions 28 to 507 of the family's 1533-position model. The record is from RNAcentral.
GACGAACGCUGGCGGCGUGCCUAAUACAUGCAAGUUGAGCGCUGAAGGUUGGUACUUGUACCAACUGGAUGAGCAGCGAACGGGUGAGUAACGCGUGGGUAAUCUGCCUUUGAGCGGGGGACAACAUUUGGAAACGAAUGCUAAUACCGCAUAAAAACUUUAAACACAAGUUUUAAGUUUGAAAGAUGCACUUGCAUCACUCAAAGAUGAUCCCGCGUUGUAUUAGCUAGUUGGUGAGGUAAAGGCUCACCAAGGCGAUGAUACAUAGCCGACCUGAGAGGGUGAUCGGCCACAUUGGGACUGAGACACGGCCCAAACUCCUACGGGAGGCAGCAGUAGGGAAUCUUCGGCAAUGGACGAAAGUCUGACCGAGCAACGCCGCGGGAGUGAAGAAGGUUUUCGGAUCGUAAAACUCUGUUGGUAGAGAAGAACGUUGGUGAGAGUGGAAAGCUCAUCAAGUGACGGUAACUACCCAGAAAGGGACGGCUAACUACGUG